AGUGAACGCUGGCGGUAGGCCUAACACAUGCAAGUCGAACGGCAGCACAGGAGAGCUUGCUCUCUGGGUGGCGAGUGGCGGACGGGUGAGGAAUACAUCGGAAUCUACUUUUUCGUGGGGGAUAACGUAGGGAAACUUACGCUAAUACCGCAUACGACCUACGGGUGAAAGCAGGGGAUCUUCGGACCUUGAGCGAUUGAAUGAGCCGAUGUCGGAUUAGCAAGUUGGCGGGGUAAAGGCCCACCAAGGCGACGAUCCGUAGCUGGUCUGAGAGGAUGAUCAGCCACACUGGAACCGAGACACGGUCCAGACUCCUACGGGAGGCAGCAGUGGGGAAUAUUGGACAAUGGGCGCAAGCCUGAUCCAGCCAUACCGCGUGGGUGAAGUAGGCCUUCGGGUUGUAAAGCCCUUUUGUUGGGAAAGAAAUCCAUCUGGUUAAUACCCGGGUGGGAUGACGGUACCCAAAGAAUAAGCACCGGCUAACUUCGUGCCAGCCGCCGCCGUAA
This 506-nucleotide ribosomal RNA is filed under the name uncultured bacterium. Its description in RNAcentral is "partial 16S ribosomal RNA". It matches the Rfam family "Bacterial small subunit ribosomal RNA", at positions 29 to 523 of the family's 1533-position model. The record is from RNAcentral.